RNAcentral lists this non-coding RNA (23 nucleotides) under Arabidopsis thaliana (thale cress). The record is from RNAcentral. Lineage: Eukaryota; Viridiplantae; Streptophyta; Magnoliopsida; Brassicales; Brassicaceae.
AGUGUAGUCAUAUUUUAGAUAGC